This 1021-nucleotide long non-coding RNA is filed under the name Macaca mulatta (Rhesus monkey). Its description in RNAcentral is "lncRNA (ENSMMUG00000049851.1)". The record is from RNAcentral. Lineage: Eukaryota; Metazoa; Chordata; Mammalia; Primates; Cercopithecidae.
GUAAAUAUGGUGCUAAAGUAUGAUGCUAUUUAACAAAAAGUUAAAGAACAUGCAAAACUAAUGUAUAAGAAGAUAAGUCAAAACAGAGGUUGCCUUAGGAUGUAUGAUUGCAAAGAGGCUCAAAGGCACUUUUGGGGGGUUGGAUGUUACAUACCUUAAUGUAGGUUUUGGUCAUGCAAAGCUAUGUAUUUAACAAAAUUUAUCAAUGUAUAUACUUAAAAACAUUGUGCCCUGUUGUAUAGAUUACUUCCUAAUUGAAUAAAAGGAGAAUAUUACCCUCCCUUCAAAAAUGCAAACUGCAAGUUAAAAAAUUAUGCAUCUUGAAUAGAUAUAAAUAAAUUUUAGUAAGAAAAUUAUUACGUUCAUACAGGCAAGCACAAAGAUUAAGAAUGCAAGGACUAUGUGAUAUUAACUGUAAUAAAUUCAGUUCAAGAAGAAUUUAAAGCAAAGAACCCUAUAAAAUACAAUAAAAAGGAAUAAAAGAGCGCAACACCAAAUGGUGAAUUUUGCAAACACUUAAGCAUAAUCAUUAUUAUGUAUUAGUAUACAUUACAAAAAAGACAGGAACUUACAAAGAAAAGUUACGAAAUUAAAAUAGUAGUAAGACAAUGACAGAACAAUAUACAAAAAUGGAAAACAACCUACACUAUGUAAUUGAUAACUUAUAUUUAAUUGAGUUAAUUUUUUGUGUGUGUGUUCCAGGACUUAAGGAAUGUUUACAAUGAGUACUAAAAAUCACAACAAUAUCAUCACCUUCAACAACAAAACAGACGAAAGCCAUUUUGAAAAACUCUGCAUACAAAACCGGACUACAGUAAAGGGACACUUGGUCUGUUCACAAAAAUAAUCCUCAUCACUAUUUCUCUCCGGCACUAUGUAGAGAAAGAACUGCGAGUCAGCGAUCUGGAUCUCACAUCUAGAUUUAAUCCCAUGGAAGACAAAAUGAAAAACUUCUUAAUAAAUGAGACAAAACCUGAAUCUGGGUUUUACAUUUUUCUCGAAUUCUACCAGGACAUAGUAA